AUGAAGACUUUCCUGCUCCUCUUUAUAUCACUGGCCUGCUUGUCAGGUGUCCAGUCUCAGCAACUUGUCCAGUCAUCAGACCCAGUGGUGAUAAAGCCCGGGAAUUCCUAUAGAGCCUCAUGUACGGCUUCUGGAUUCACCUUCAGUGAUUACUAUAUGCACUGGGUUAGACAGAGUCCUGGCGGAGGAUUACAGUGGGUUGCUCGGAUUGAUUACAAUGGGGGCCGCACAUACUAUCAUGAUUCUGUUAAAGGACGAUUCACAAUCUCCAGAGAUAACAGUAAUAACCUACAGUCCACCGCAACCGAUACGGCAGACCAGGAGAAAGGCGUAACAAGAGAACAGCAACACGAAUCCCACGGCGGAUCCAAUCUUCGUCGAACUGUAGAACUCAACCUUUUCUGGAUGUUCCGUAAAACUCGGAUAGAACACCGUUCUCAGAUCGGUUUUCGUCCGGCGAGCAAUGGAGAAGAGCACACCCCCGGGUGUAAACUGUCUCCUCGAUACCUCCAAAGCUCGAACAUCCGACACACGUUUGAUGGAUAUCAAACACAACAACAUGGUCAGUUUGAAUGA
This is a non-coding RNA of Hyla sarda, 576 nucleotides long. The record is from the annotation of a RefSeq genome assembly. NCBI's taxonomy places the organism in Eukaryota, Metazoa, Chordata, Amphibia, Anura, Hylidae.